CCUACGGGUGGCAGCAGUGGGGGAUAUUGCACAAUGGGGGAAACCCUGAUGCAGCGACGCCGCGUGAGUGAAGAAGGAUUUCGGUAUGUAAAGCUUUAUCAGCAGGGAAGAAAAUGACAGUACCUGACCAGGAAGCCCCGGCUAACUACGUGCCAGCAGCCGCGGUAAUACGUAGGGGGCAAGCGUUAUCCGGAUUUAUUGGGUGUAAAGGGUGCGUAGACGGGUAAGUAAGUUAGGAGUGAAAGCCCGGGGCCCAACGCGGGGACUGCAGUGGAAACUGAGUAACUGGAGUACAGGAGGGGCAGGUGGAAUUCCUGGUGUAGCGGUGAAAUGCGUAGAUAUCAGGAGGAACACCGGCGGCGAAGGCGGCCUUCUGGACUGAAACUGACGUUGAGGCUCGAAAGCGUGGGGAGCAAACAGGAUUAGAUACCCUUGUAGUC
RNAcentral lists this ribosomal RNA (440 nucleotides) under uncultured bacterium. Its description in RNAcentral is "partial 16S ribosomal RNA". It matches the Rfam family "Bacterial small subunit ribosomal RNA", at positions 338 to 795 of the family's 1533-position model. The record is from RNAcentral.